CCUACGGGCGACAGCAGUGGGGAAUAUUUGGCAAUGGGCGCAAGCCUGACCCAGCAACGCCGCGUGAAGGAAGCAGGCUUUCGGGUUGUAAACUUCUUUUAAGAGGGAAGAGCCGACGACGGUACCUCUUGAAUAAGCCACGGCUAACUACGUGCCAGCAGCCGCGGUAAUACGUAGGUGGCAAGCGUUGUCCGGAUUUACUGGGUGUAAAGGGCGUGUAGCCGGGCUGACAAGUCAGAUGUGAAAUUCCGGGGCUCAACCCCGGACCUGCAUUUGAAACUGUUGGUCUUGAGUAUCGGAGAGGCAGGCGGAAUUCCUAGUGUAGCGGUGAAAUGCGUAGAUAUUAGGAGGAACACCAGUGGCGAAGGCGGCCUGCUGGACGACAACUGACGGUGAGGCGCGAAAGCGUGGGGAGCAAACAGGAUUAGAUACCCUAGUAGUC
Molecule: ribosomal RNA, 442 nt
Filed under: uncultured bacterium
Lineage: Bacteria
Description: partial 16S ribosomal RNA
Rfam family: Bacterial small subunit ribosomal RNA
Source: RNAcentral